GGAGCCGGCCGGGCGGCCGCGGUCGGCCUUCGGGCCGGUCGAGGAAAGUCCGGGCUCCGCAGGGCAGGGUGCUGGGUAACGCCCAGGCGGGGGUGACCUCGCGAAGGCGCCACAGAGAACAACCGCCCGUGCGGGUGACCGCGCGAGCAAGGGUGAAACGGUGAGGUAAGAGCUCACCAGCGGACCGGGCGACCGGUCCGGCUCGGCAAGCCCCACCCGGAGCAAGGCCAAGCAGGGAGCGUUCGAGGACGGCCCGUCCGAGCUCCCGGGUAGGCCGCACGAGCUGCAUCCCCUCGGGGACGCGCCGGGGCGCCGGAGCGGCGCUCAGAGAGAUGGCCGCCACCGGCCCAAGGGCCGGCACAGAACCCGGCUUACAGGCCGACUCCUCCA
RNAcentral lists this RNase P RNA (390 nucleotides) under Actinobacteria bacterium RBG_19FT_COMBO_70_19. RNAcentral's name for it is "RNase P RNA component class A". It matches the Rfam family "Bacterial RNase P class A". From Rfam's summary of the family: Ribonuclease P (RNase P) is a ubiquitous endoribonuclease, found in archaea, bacteria and eukarya as well as chloroplasts and mitochondria. Its best characterised activity is the generation of mature 5'-ends of tRNAs by cleaving the 5'-leader elements of precursor-tRNAs. The record is from RNAcentral. Lineage: Bacteria; Bacillati; Actinomycetota.